This 619-nucleotide ribosomal RNA is filed under the name uncultured Methanosaeta sp. Its description in RNAcentral is "bacterial SSU rRNA". It matches the Rfam family "Archaeal small subunit ribosomal RNA", at positions 83 to 706 of the family's 1478-position model. Lineage: Archaea; Methanobacteriati; Methanobacteriota; Methanomicrobia; Methanotrichales; Methanotrichaceae. The record is from RNAcentral.
CGGCUCAGUAACACGUGGACAACCUACCCUUAGGACGGGGAUAAACCCGGGAAACUGGGUAUAAUACCCGAUAGUCCUCGGAUGCUGGAAUGCCCCGAGAACUAAAGCUCCGGCGCCUAAGGAUGGGUCUGCGGCCUAUCAGGUAGUAGUGGGUGUAGCGUACCUACUAGCCUACGACGGGUACGGGUUGUGAGAGCAAGAGCCCGGAGAUGGAUUCUGAGACACGAAUCCAGGCCCUACGGGGUGCAGCAGGCGCGAAAACUUUACAAUGCUGGAAACAGCGAUAAGGGGACCUCGAGUGCCAGGUUACAAAUCUGGCUGUCGUGAUGCCUAAAAAGCAUUGCAUAGCAAGGGCCGGGCAAGACCGGUGCCAGCCGCCGCGGUAACACCGGCGGCUCGAGUGGCAACCGUUAUUAUUGGGUCUAAAGGGUCUGUAGCCGGCCGGAUAAGUCUCUUGGGAAAUCUGGCAGCUUAACUGUCAGGCUUUCAGGAGAUACUGUCUGGCUCGAGGCCGGGAGAGGUGAGAGGUACUUCAGGGGUAGGGGUGAAAUCUUGUAAUCCUUGAAGGACCACCAGUGGCGAAGGCGUCUCACCAGAACGGACCUGACGGCAAGGGACG